This is a long non-coding RNA of Arachis duranensis, 390 nucleotides long. RefSeq lists it as uncharacterized. Lineage: Eukaryota; Viridiplantae; Streptophyta; Magnoliopsida; Fabales; Fabaceae. The record is from RefSeq and is a predicted model, not a curated record. The transcript is spliced from 4 exons.
GCAUUAAGGAGCACAACCAUCAAAUGGUAAUAAGUAUAUUUAUUUUGAAUACAAAUCUGGGAUGGACAAUGGGAAAACAGCUUCUUCUUCAGAUCGAGAAAGCUAGUUCAGUGCUCCAGAGGAUGAAGAUGAGCCUCAUCCAAAUUUGUUAAGGAGGACAACUAUUGGAAAUGGUCCUCCAGAAUCAAUAUUUUGAGCAGGUCCUCCAGAAUCAAUAUUUUACUGAGCAACUUCAUCUCGAAUAGGUGUUCAACAUCUCUAAUGGUGGCUAGGUACUGGGUGGACACUGGUUAGCUGCUGGUUUCCGAGAAAAAUCCUUACUAGCAGCAAGUUGAGACCAGAGUGCAGAGUGCAGAACUUUUGGGAAAAUUUUUUGUUGUGUUAUUGAGG